GACGAACGCUGGCGGCGUGCCUAAUACAUGCAAGUUGAGCGCUGAAGGUUGGUACUUGUACCCACUGGAUGAGCAGCGAACGGGUGAGUAACGCGUGGGGAAUCUGCCUUUGAGCGGGGGACAACAUUUGGAAACGAAUGCUAAUACCGCAUAAAAACUUUAAACACAAGUUUUAAGUUUGAAAGAUGCAAUUGCAUCACUCAAAGAUGAUCCCGCGUUGUAUUAGCUAGUUGGUGAGGUAAGGGCUCACCAAGGCGAUGAUACAUAGCCGACCUGAGAGGGUGAUCGGCCACAUUGGGGCUGAGACACGGCCCAAACUCCUACGGGAGGCAGCAGUAGGGAAUCUUCGGCAAUGGACGAAAGUCUGACCGAGCAACGCCGCGUGAGUGAAGAAGGUUUUCGGAUCGUAAAACUCUGUUGGUAGAGAAGAACGUUGGUGAGAGUGGAAAGCUCAUCAAGUGACGGUAACUACCCAGAAAGGGACGGCUAACUACGUG
This 497-nucleotide ribosomal RNA is filed under the name uncultured bacterium. RNAcentral's name for it is "partial 16S ribosomal RNA". It matches the Rfam family "Bacterial small subunit ribosomal RNA", at positions 28 to 507 of the family's 1533-position model. The record is from RNAcentral.